ACCUGGAUGGCUCAGUCAGUUAAGCGUCUGACUUCGGCUCAGGUCAUGAUCUCACGGUUGGUGGGUUCGAGCCCCAUUUCAGGCU
This 85-nucleotide transfer RNA is filed under the name Felis catus (domestic cat). It matches the Rfam family "tRNA". From Rfam's summary of the family: Transfer RNA (tRNA) molecules are approximately 80 nucleotides in length. Their secondary structure includes four short double-helical elements and three loops (D, anti-codon, and T loops). The record is from Rfam by way of RNAcentral. Lineage: Eukaryota; Metazoa; Chordata; Mammalia; Carnivora; Felidae.